GACGUAGCAAAAACAUUUUCCGGUUGUAGCAAAAUCGACGACGCUUCCAGCAAAAAAUCCAAAGAUGAUAGUAGAACAAAUAGGUGCUAGUUCCAGCAAAAACUAAGACAAUGGUAGCAAAAAAAUCAUUUGGUUCCAGCAAAACUCAAAGACAGUGGUAGCAAAAGAAUCAUUUGGUUGCAGCAAAAAGCAAAGCAAUGGUACCAAAAAAAAAAGUACUGGAUCUUGCAAAAUUCAGAGACGAUGGUAUUACCAAGUAGCAAAAAUUACCGUCAGUAGCAGCAAAACACAUCUCUGUUUCCAGCAAAACAACAUCUUGGUUCCAGCAAGAUUCAGAGACGAUGGUAGUACCAUGUAGCAAAAAUUACCGUCGGUGGCAGCAAAACACAUCUAUGUUUCCAGCAAAACAAACAUCUUGGUUCCAACAAAAUUCACCGCUGGCACCAAUUCGAGCAAAGGAAACACCAGUUCCAGCAAAAAAUUCCUCCCAUAGCAGAAAACAUAUCACUGGUUCCAGCAAAAAUAGAACUUGGUUCCAGCAGAAAAUCACCGCCGACACCGAUCCAAGAAAAAAGAACACACCAGUUCCAGCAAAAAUUACAGCUGGUAGCAGCAAAAAACACCACGGGUUCCAGCAUCCCUGAUGUCACCGUUUCCAGCGCCGCCACAUCCCGCAGGUGGCCGUCGCCGGUCGCAGCUCCUAGACGGCCGGUUGCAGCUUCCCACAAACCGAUUGCAGCAAAAAAGUGAGGACCUCCGAAGUAGCAGGCACGGCUGCUGAUCUGCUGGUGGCCGCUUCGGCUCCACGGCAACGCUCGCGGCGGUGGCACACCAAAUGACAGCCGAGUAAUAAG
This 854-nucleotide ribosomal RNA is filed under the name Triticum aestivum (bread wheat). RNAcentral's name for it is "partial small subunit ribosomal RNA". The record is from RNAcentral. Lineage: Eukaryota; Viridiplantae; Streptophyta; Magnoliopsida; Poales; Poaceae.